GUGCAUUGACUAUUUUAUGUAGGUGGUCUCUGAUAUCGUAUUGAGAUCCCGUCUAGAAACUCAGGUAUUUAGAUGGAUAGACCCAAAAGUAUACGAGCACCACAAGUCUUCUCAACUUAUUUGAUGUGGGACUAUUAUUCUUCAAAAAAAAUAGAAAACUAGAUUUAAGAUCAUUCAUGAGAACCAUUUAUACAGGAUAAGAUAUAAUCUGGUGUGGUAUACAAGGCACAAAUCAAGCCUAGCUGGUCAUAUGCCAUGGCUGGC
This 264-nucleotide long non-coding RNA is filed under the name Elaeis guineensis (African oil palm). Its description in RNAcentral is "long non-coding RNA (EGUI_LNC007865)". Lineage: Eukaryota; Viridiplantae; Streptophyta; Magnoliopsida; Arecales; Arecaceae. The record is from RNAcentral.